GACGAACGCUGGCGGCGUGCUUAACACAUGCAAGUCGAACGGAAAGGCCCUGCUUUUGUGGGGUGCUCGAGUGGCGAACGGGUGAGUAACACGUGAGUAACCUGCCCUUGACUUUGGGAUAACUUCAGGAAACUGGGGCUAAUACCGGAUAGGAGCUCCUGCUGCAUGGUGGGGGUUGGAAAGUUUCGGCGGUUGGGGAUGGACUCGCGGCUUAUCAGCUUGUUGGUGGGGUAGUGGCUUACCAAGGCUUUGACGGGUAGCCGGCCUGAGAGGGUGACCGGCCACAUUGGGACUGAGAUACGGCCCAGACUCCUACGUGCGGCAGCAGUGGGGAAUAUUGCACAAUGGGCGGACGCCUGAUGCAGCAACGCCGCGUGCGGGAUGACGGCCUUCGGGUUGUAAACCUCUUUCGCCUGUGACGAAGCGUGAGUGACGGUAAUGGGUAAAGAAGCACCGGCUAACUACGUG
Molecule: ribosomal RNA, 468 nt
Filed under: uncultured bacterium
Lineage: Bacteria
Description: partial 16S ribosomal RNA
Rfam family: Bacterial small subunit ribosomal RNA
Source: RNAcentral